UAAGUGUAAAAAAAGACUUCUAAUCUUUUAUCAGCAAACAAGCUACACUUAA
RNAcentral lists this transfer RNA (52 nucleotides) under Gammarus lacustris. Its description in RNAcentral is "tRNA-Ser". The record is from RNAcentral. Lineage: Eukaryota; Metazoa; Arthropoda; Malacostraca; Amphipoda; Gammaridae.